GGAGGCAGCAGUGAGGAAAAGGGUCAAUGGGCGAGAGCCUGAACAGCCAUCCCGCGUGAGGAAGAAUUCCCUAUGGGUUGUAAACUGCUUUUUCCCAUGAAGAACACCUUUGACGUGUCAGAGGCUGACGGUAAUGCGUGAAUAAGCACCGGCUAACUCCGUGCCAGCAGCCGCCGUAUACGGAGGGUGCAAGCGUUGAUUCCCGAAUUUAUUGGGUUUAAAGGGUGCGUAGGCGGCUAAUUAAGUCAGUGGUGAAAUCCUGCAGCUCAACUGUAGAACAGCCAUUGAAACUGAAUAGCUUGAGUAAUCUUGAGGUAAGCGGAAUGUGUAGUGUAGCGGUGAAAUGCCUAGAUAUUACACAGAACACCGAUUGCGAAGGCAGCUUACUAAGGAUUCACUGACGCUGAUGCACGAAAGCGUGGGGAUCAAACAGGAUUAGAUACCCUGGUAGUCCACGCCGUAAACGAUGAUAACUCGCUGUUGGCGAUACACAGUCAGCGGCUUAGCGAAAGCGUUAAGUUAUCCACCUGGGGAGUACGCUCGCAAGAGUGAAACUCAAAGGAAUUGACGGGGGCCCGCACAAGCGGAGGAACAUGUGGUUUAAUUCGAUGAUACGCGAGGAACCUUACCUGGGCUUAAAUGUGCUGUGACCGCCGGAGAAAUUUGGCUUUUCGCAAGAACAGAGUACCAAGGUGCUGCAUGGUUGUCGUCAGCUCGUGCCGUGAGGUGUCGGGUUAAGUCCCAUAACGAGCGCAACCCCUUAUUGUCAGUUGCUAACAGGUCAUGCUGAGGACUCUGGCGAGACUGCCACCGUAAGGUGUGGAGGAAGGUGGGGAUGAACGUUCAAAUCAGCACGCCCUUUUUGUUCCAGGCUAAACACGUGUUACAAUGGCCAGUACAAAGGGCAGCUACCGGGCGACCGGAUGCUAAUCUCUAAAGCUGGUCUCAGUUCGGAUCGAAGUCUGCCACCCGACUUCCUGAAGCUGGAUUCCCCUAUAAUCCCGCCCAUCAGCCAUGGCCCGGUGAAUACGUUUCCCGGGCCUUGUACCCCCCGAU
RNAcentral lists this ribosomal RNA (1056 nucleotides) under uncultured Prolixibacter sp. RNAcentral describes it as "bacterial SSU rRNA". It matches the Rfam family "Bacterial small subunit ribosomal RNA", at positions 344 to 1394 of the family's 1533-position model. The record is from RNAcentral. Lineage: Bacteria; Pseudomonadati; Bacteroidota; Bacteroidia; Marinilabiliales; Prolixibacteraceae.